AGCGGCAGCUUAACACAUGCAAGUCGAACGGUAACUCUUGGUGCUUGCACCAAAAGACGAGUGGCGGACGGGUGCGUAACGCGUAUGCAAUCUACCUUUUACUAGGGUAUAGCCCAGAGAAAUUUGGAUUAAUCCCCUAUAAUAUCAUGAAAUCGCAUGGUUUUAUGAUUAAAGCUUCGGCGGUAGAAGAUGAGCAUGCGUCCUAUUAGUUUGUAGGUGAGGUAACGGCUCACCUAGACUACGAUAGGUAGGGGCCCUGAGAGGGGGAUCCCCCACACUGGUACUGAGACACGGACCAGACUCCUACGGGAGGCAGCAGUGAGGAAUAUUGGACAAUGGACGAAAGUCUGAUCCAGCUAUGCCGCGUGCAGGAUGACAGCCCUACGGGUUGUAAACUGCUUUUAUACAGGAAGAAAAACCCCGACGUGUCGGGGCUUGACGGUACUGUAAGAAUAAGGAUCGGCUAACUCCGUGCCAGCAGCCGCGGUAAUACGGAGGAUCCAAGCGUUAUCCGGAAUUAUUGGGUUUAAAGGGUCCGCAGGCGGUUUUUUAAGUCAGAGGUGAAAUCCUACAGCUCAACUGUAGAAUUGCCUUUGAAACUGAAAGACUUGAGUUAUUGUGAAGUGGUUAGAAUGUGUGGUGUAGCGGUGAAAUGCAUAGAUAUCACACAGAAUACCAAUUGCGAAGGCAGAUCACUAACAAUUAACUGACGCUCAGGGACGAAAGCGUGGGUAGCGAACAGGAUUAGAUACCCUGGUAGUCCACGCCGUAAACGAUGGAUACUAGCUGUAUGUCUACCUCAGGUAGAUGUGUGGCCAAGCGAAAGUGAUAAGUAUCCCACCUGGGGAGUACGA
RNAcentral lists this ribosomal RNA (854 nucleotides) under uncultured Flavobacteriaceae bacterium. RNAcentral's name for it is "bacterial SSU rRNA". It matches the Rfam family "Bacterial small subunit ribosomal RNA", at positions 38 to 885 of the family's 1533-position model. The record is from RNAcentral. Lineage: Bacteria; Pseudomonadati; Bacteroidota; Flavobacteriia; Flavobacteriales; Flavobacteriaceae.